UACGAAGGGUGCAAGCGUUACUCGGAAUUACUGGGCGUAAAGCGUGCGUAGGUGGUGAGUUAAGUCUGUCGUGAAAGCCCCGGGCUCAACCUGGGAAUGGCGAUGGAUACUGGCUCGCUAGAGUGCGGUAGAGGAGAGUGGAAUUCCCGGUGUAGCAGUGAAAUGCGCAGAUAUCAGGAGGAACACCAAUGGCGAAGGCAGCUCGCUGGGACGUGACUGACGCUGAGACGCGAAAGCGUGGGGAGCAAACAGG
RNAcentral lists this ribosomal RNA (253 nucleotides) under uncultured bacterium. RNAcentral's name for it is "partial 16S ribosomal RNA". It matches the Rfam family "Bacterial small subunit ribosomal RNA", at positions 524 to 776 of the family's 1533-position model. The record is from RNAcentral.